Non-coding RNA from Thamnophis sirtalis, 862 nucleotides. NCBI's taxonomy places the organism in Eukaryota, Metazoa, Chordata, Lepidosauria, Squamata, Natricidae. The record is from RefSeq and is a predicted model, not a curated record.
AGAUUCGAAAAAUAAGACUACAGUCACUAUUAAGGAAGAUGUUGAUGCUGACUCAGAUGAUGAUGAUAUCUUUAAACCUCCCAAGCUAACUGAUGAAGAUUUCUCACCGUUUGGUUCUAAAGAUGGACUCUUCAGUGGUGGGACAGGACUCUUCGAUGAUGACGAGAAGGAUCUUUUUGCUGAAUUGCCAAAAGAGGAAAAGGAAAAAGAAGCACGAAUUCCAAUAAAUGAUAGUAAGAAUUUUUGUAAAACUUAAUGAUUUAAUAGAUUUAACACAAGAAAACUUUGUAGUUCAUUUGGGAAAGAAAGAUGGUCUUUUUUUUUUAAACGUUGCUUUGGAAGUAUAUUGAGACAAACAUGAUACGAUCCUAAAUGAGGAUAUAUUUAAGCCUCCCCAAGUUUACUAAAGAAUAUUGUAGAAUGCAGCUUUAUUUUUCCAAGUGUAACUAUAAAAUGUGGUUACUCCCCCAAAGAGCCUUUCAUUGAUUCUUUUUUAUUUUCAUGGGAUAUACGUAAACAUUUACUUUCCACACACUUGAUUGGCACCUGAUGCACUGACAACAGAGCUUCCAUAACUCCAUUAGGGUCAUCUUCCUUACGCUCUACAUGAGUGACCCUCAACCUUUAGGGUACCAGGGACCGGUUCCAUGGAGAAAGGUGGGUGUGGUUUUGUGUGCUGCCUGCAUACUGUGGGUGGAGCUUGUUUGUGCAGCCCGAUUGCUGGCAUGCUUUGGAUCGGUGUUGGUCCACAGACUGGGGGUUGGGGACCCCUGGUCUACACGUUAGGACUUCACUGUUUCCCCCAACCCUUAUAUUCCAUCUACUCACAGGUGAGUCCUCUACAUGGGGCAGCCCUUGAAGA